GACGAACGCUGGCGGCGUGCUUAACACAUGCAAGUCGAACGGGCCCGCUCUCUUUUUUGGGGGUGGGUUGAGUGGCGAACGGGUGAGUAUCACGUGAGUAACCUGCCCCCUGCUCCUGGAUAACUGCUUGAAAGGGCGGCUAAUACGGGGUGUGCCGGCUGGUCCGCAUGGGCCUGGUCGGGAUAGUUUCAUCUUCGGGUGUUUCGGUGGGGGAUGGGCUCGCGGCCUAUCAGCUUGUUGGUGGGGUGAUGGCCCACCAAGGCGGUGACGGGUAGCCGGCCUGAGAGGGUGGGCGGCCACACUGGGACUGAGACACGGCCCAGACUCCUGCGGGAGGCAGCAGUGGGGGGUAUGGCGCAAUGGGCGGAAGCCUGAUGCAGCGACGUCGCGUGAGGGAUGGAGGCCUUCGGGUUGUGAACCUCUUUCUCCGGUGGUGAAGGCCCUGUCCGUUGCGGCGGGGUUGACGGUAGCCGGGUAUGAAGCGCCGGCUAACUACGUG
Molecule: ribosomal RNA, 499 nt
Filed under: uncultured bacterium
Lineage: Bacteria
Description: partial 16S ribosomal RNA
Rfam family: Bacterial small subunit ribosomal RNA
Source: RNAcentral